Molecule: non-coding RNA, 385 nt
Organism: Antarctobacter heliothermus
Lineage: Bacteria; Pseudomonadati; Pseudomonadota; Alphaproteobacteria; Rhodobacterales; Roseobacteraceae
Rfam family: Bacterial RNase P class A
About the family: Ribonuclease P (RNase P) is a ubiquitous endoribonuclease, found in archaea, bacteria and eukarya as well as chloroplasts and mitochondria. Its best characterised activity is the generation of mature 5'-ends of tRNAs by cleaving the 5'-leader elements of precursor-tRNAs.
Source: Rfam
GCGGAGGGCCGGACGGCCGCUUGUGGAGACAUGAGAGGAAAGUCCGGACUCACCAAAGCACCGGUGCCGGGUAACGCCCGGGCAGGGCAACCUGACGGAAAGCGCCACAGAAAACAGACCGCCCGUUCGUUCGCGUUCGGGACAGGGUGAAAAGGUGGGGUAAGAGCCCACCGGGGGGCUGGCAACAGCGCCCGCAUGGCAAGCCCCACCGGGGAGCAAUGCCGAAUAGGGAUCACGCGCACCUUCGGGUGCAGGGCCGCUUUGGCCUUGGUGAUCCGGGUUGGCAGCUAGAGCCGCGUGGCAACGCGCGGUCCAGAGGAAUGGUCGUCUGAGGGCCGGGAAACCGGCCCAAGAACAGAAUCCGGCUUACAGGCCCUCCGCGCAA